GUGGAAACUGCAGCUCCAGCUUCAGUUUUGCCCACAAACACACAGAAGACAGGACAGGGAAGGAGUCACAGCACAUGUGCCUGCAAGGAGAAAGAAGGGCAAGAGAACACCUCCUCUCCACCCACCAAGAGGGGAUAUGGGUUCAUCCCCAGAUGAAUCAGACCAUGAAGCCAUUUCUGAGCUAAAAAUCUCCAUGUUAUUGCUUCCCCCAGCUAUCCUCCCCCCUGUGUCCCCUCACCAUGACAGAUUUCAGCUCCCUCCUUCCCGUGGAAAAUACAGCUUUCAUCUAUCUGCAUAGUUGAGGAACAAAACUGUAAAUCCCCAUAUAGCACACAUCAUGUAACACACACUGCCACUUCCAUCACUGCUUACAAAGAUCUCUUGUGCUUUGGAUGGUGGUUGUAACAGGACCUUCCUUGUGAUAUAUGUGACACUGUCACAUCCUGCCUUUUCUUCUCCAAAAUUAAUUUCCCUCUCAGAAGCAAACUCAUCUGUUCUCAACACCCCUUGCUCCAGUGACACUGGACUGACUCAUCCUCAUCAGCAGAGAAUGGCACAGAGCUUUUGCAAGGAGACUAUGGGUGAAACCCUCAAGGGCAAAUAGCAUCAGCAGUGAAGCUGUGCUUGCAAAACCAUCUGCUUCCACCUUGCUCUGCUUUUUCCCCUCUCCAUCCCCUCACGGCUGGCUGCCUUCCUGUCUUGAGCCCCUCCGGCUGUUUGUUGCAGGGCAGCAGACCCUGUUCAUGGGGGAUCAUGACCCUCUGGGCUCCUUCCUCCUCUGCUCAGGGACACGUAGGAAGGAGGGAGGAGCAACCAGGAAACAUGGCCACGACCUCAGACAAUUUUAUGAACCAAAAGAACUCAAUCUCUCAUUUUCUCCACACUCUUUGCAUUAGGGUAAGGUUUACCUCUGACCCAUGUCAACGUCACCAAGAAUAUACCAUCUUUCCCAAGGCAUCCCCUUUUUCUCCCACUCUUUUCUGCUGCUCCCUUCUCACCCUGCUUGUCCUGAACCCACCUAUCCUCUUUCUGGCAUUUUCUUCCACCUCUGCUCAGCUUUUGUUUGAAAUGUUGAACACAACCACACACAUCACAGGAGGAGCAAAAGAGAACUGCCUGUGUGAGGUGGUUUCAUGUUGGAAAAAGGGAAGAUGAGAAGGGGAAGGGAAUGCAGAGCUCCCAGCCUGGAAGCGGCUCGGCAGAAUUCAGGUGGGCGCAGCAGAAACGCAAGUGAGGGCCUCCGGGAGCUGCCAGCAUGGGGCAGAUGGAGGCAGGAAGGGCAUUCCCUGCUGACUCAGGCCUGCCACCAGCACUGAUGAGCCCCACACCUCUGAUGAGUGCUGCACACCCCGGGUUUCGCUCAGGCCAGUGGCAGGGCGGAAAGACACCACCAGCCCACGCUGUCACCUCCCCGAUGGCUCAAGGAGUGCUUGCAAAAGUCAGCCUCUGACAUCCCAGCCAGCAGCCCAUGGGAGCACAGAGGGAGAGAAAAGCAAAGCUCAGGCUGCUUUGCACAGAAUGCUGAGGGGUUUCGCUGAGCCGGCUGUCUGCAGACACCUCCACCAGCAUGGGUUGGUUUGGUCACUAAGGAAAGCAGGGCAGGGGCUGGCAGUGGGAGCACAGUACUGUUCCAUGUCUCCAUGGCCUGGAGUUCCUGCAGAUGUCAUGGGGACUCCUGACAAAUGUGCACAAAAGCGGCUCAGGGAGCAGGCGAGCAGGGACUUGCUUUACAUCCCUGGGACUCCCCCAUGAUACAGAUGCUGUGGGUUUUACCCCCACACAGCUCAUUACCCCUUUAUUUUAAGCAGUUCACCUAGAGGCCAAGCAGCCAGGAGGAAGUAAUCUCUAAAACCACAAGAGAAACCUCCCACCAGGGGUGUGUACAAGAGCUGGAUGGGGAGGGGGAAAUAUUUGCAUUUACCUCAUCAAAAUCUCCAUAUAAAUGGGCUGAGAGGCGUCGGGCUUUCUCAGCUCCCAGGUGCAUGAAGCAGGGACAUCCAAGAGGAUGAUGGCAGCUCACUUCUUGCUGCAGUUCCUCCUCUUCGGGACUCUACUCGUCCCUGUGUACCUGCAGAUGGAAGGAUGUGAUUUUCUCCAGGAUGCAGUCAAGGGCAAUUUCUCAGUGACUGUGACACCUGAGGAGUAUGUGGCCAACACAACCUACCAGGUUACAAUAAGAGAUGACGGAAACAGCACCACCAUCAGAAAUGUGACCAUGUAUUUACUUCAAGCCUUGUCCUCUGAAAAUACCACUGCAGGAGAAUGGAAUGUAGUAGAAAAACUAAACUGCAGUAAUGUUGCGACAGCAAUGCUAAAUACCACUCAGGAAGAAGCAGCAGCAAACUGGACAUCUCCAAGCAGUAACAUAUCUUCCGUGGAAAUAAGGGCAUAUAUCAUCUAUGAAAACAAUAUCACUGAGUUCAAGACGGCGAUUCUGCAGGAAGUUCCACGAACAGAUCCAACCACAGCCUCGACAACCCCUGACUCCGUCUCCGCAGUCCAGAGCAGCUGCUUCUUCAUCGCCGUCACUCAGCUGCUGAUGCUCCUCACUACAAGCAAACUGCUCUCCUAGGAGAUGGGGAGAGGAGAUGACCCAGCUGUGGUGCUCCUCUCCUCACCCACGGCACAGGGCCAGCACACACAGCAAGAUUAGCAAGUCAGAGAUCACUCUGGUCAGAACAGCUGGAGAAGGUGAUUUAGGAGCAGACCCCUUCUAACCAGGGGCACCGGAUGGGUUAAUCCUUUCCUCAACACCUGGGGUCCUGUGAAGCACAAAAAGAAAAGCAUGAAAAUGUUCAAGAGAGGGGAAAGGCCCCUCCCCAUCCCAGUACUGGUGUGUGCUGAGGAGCUGAAGGAGAGGUCUGUGAGCCACAGCCAGGGCAGAGCUAUACUGUGUCCUGCAAAGCUCCCUUGGUUUGGUUCUGGCUCUCUGGAAUGGUGGAGUGGGUGGGUUUUUUUCCUCCUUUUUUUGUUUGUUUGGGUUUUUUUUUGUUUUUAAUCAGCAGCAGUUCCUGCUGUGGGAUGAGAUUGGAUGGGCCCCUGAAUGUCUUGAUUUUAUUAUUAUUGUUUGUAUUUUUAUACGGAUGGAGUUUAUGAAGGAAAUUUCAAACUUCUGGAAAGUAAUUACUAUUAUUAUUAUUUUUUUUUUCUGAAGCGAAUCUAAAUAAACCAAAGAAUGAAAGCUGGCUGUCGCACUGAGCAGUGUUUUCUGGCUGGGACACGGCCGGGCUCCGGCCCUGACCAGCACAGUCUGCCCCUGCAGCUCAUGGCCAUGUUUAAGGGGAAUUUGCUUUCACCUGUCCUUGAACCCAGGGCACAGCCCUCAGCCCUGCGGGCUCCAGAGCCUGGCUGCCUCCCCAUGGUGUGCCCCUCUGCUCCCCACUGAGGCUCACAUUGCUCUGAAGUGGACAUAUCUCACUCGAGUCCACUUUUGUUCAGAUUUUGUCUCAAAAAGCCGUGAUUUGCCUCAAAGAAGAGAUAUUUCUCCCUCUCACAGCUGGGCUUUGCAAGGCGGUAGUGAAGCCCUGCUGAUUUCCACUUAUUCCCACCCCUGGAGGGCUAUGGGAUGGCUGCUUUGUAAAGUCAGCAGUCCCAAACACAAAAUUAAGCACAGUAUUAUGAAUGGUAUUUCCACUGCAUCAUGUAUGGAGUGAUCAACACAGCUGUGGAAUGUUUCACAGAAUAUCACUGAAAUACACUUGCAUGGCCCAGCUAUUACAGUUGCCUUCUGUUUUGCAGGCAGGUUAAUUAGCAGCUCCCGAGCAACCAGAAUAAUGUCACCAUUCACUACAGCAGCACACUGCACUCGGUAAAAUCCUACUUAGUGCAGUAGACUGCCUUUCUACUCUAAUCUUCCUGUCAAUAUGAUUAUCUGGUCAGAUAACAGCUCACAUAAUAGGUAUCAAAUCCCCUCCAGGUAACCUUGCAGCAACACCCUGUUACCAGGCUUAGGGUGGAGAGCAGGCUGGGAUGCUGAGCACUAGGUUGCACCAUUCCCUAUGUGCAGAGAAUGAGGAACCCCCCCCCCCCAUGCUUACAACAGCCCUUUUUCUCACAAAAUGGCUCCAGCUCCCUGUCCUGGCUCUUCUGCUGGUUAAGCAUUACCAGAAUGGCUGCAGCUGUGAGCAACAAAGCUCUGCAGCAGUUCCCCACCCUUCCCCUGAUUGCUGCACCUUCAUGCCACCCAGGGAAGCUCAGUGCUUUGUGGAAAUCAGAACAACCCCAAUUUCUUGGAGUGCAGACUUAACCUUUUACUGCUAUUUCUCACCCUCGAUACAGAAGGAAGUGCAUCACUCGUUCUGAGAGCAGAUUAAACAUCAGGAUUAAACAUUAACCUUCCUUGCUCCAUUUCCACCCCUGCAGAACAAGGGGCAGCUCCAGCCCUGCUCCCUGCUGCCCCAUCUCUCCCAGCUCCGAGGACAGAACACGUGGAGUGGAAUGGCUGUGCCAUACCCCUGCACAUUUCUGCAUCGCUUCGAGAGCAGCCAUUGAUUUUCCCAAGCCCUGCUGCAGUGAGGGAACAAACAGCUCCUGCCUCCGGCACAGUGAUAGCCAAAGGGCUGCUGACCCUCCCAUCCUAAUGGCUUUAUGGCAUUUAGGGACACACACACCCAGGGCAAUAAAAGGAGCAUCGGAUGGCAGGACAAAGCAUGCAAACAUCAGAAAAUGCCCCAACCACUGCUCAGCCACACAUCAACACCCCUGUACGUGCGGUGCGACCACGCGCUCCUUCCCCCUCUGAGCACACAGGAUGCGGUGCAAUGGCAGAGCCAGCGCUCCCCGCUCCCCAGCACUGCCCUCCCCACUGCACACGGGGCCCAGAACCACACGCCACGAGCUGGGAACUGCAGCCUGACCUCAGGAGGAAGAGCUGGGCUGCCCCAUCGGGCACACUGUGUGGAUUAUUCAUUAACGUGGUCAUUGUUGGGGCUACAGCGAAAUACAAACAACACCCUUGGGAGUGGCACUGAACUUGGCUCAGCCCCAAUACUUGCCCCCACCCCGCAACACUGCCCCUGUGUGGGGCAG
This 5028-nucleotide long non-coding RNA is filed under the name Gallus gallus (chicken). Its description in RNAcentral is "lncRNA (ENSGALG00010026151.1)". Lineage: Eukaryota; Metazoa; Chordata; Aves; Galliformes; Phasianidae. The record is from RNAcentral.